RNAcentral lists this ribosomal RNA (542 nucleotides) under uncultured Desulfotomaculum sp. Its description in RNAcentral is "bacterial SSU rRNA". It matches the Rfam family "Bacterial small subunit ribosomal RNA", at positions 373 to 935 of the family's 1533-position model. The record is from RNAcentral. Lineage: Bacteria; Bacillati; Bacillota; Clostridia; Eubacteriales; Desulfotomaculaceae.
GGGCGAAGCCUGACGAGCACGCCGCGUGAGGGAAGAAGGCCUUCGGGUUGUAAACCUCUGUUUUCAGGGAAGAAGAAAGUGACGGUACCUGAAAAGUAACCCCCGGCUAACUACUUGCCACCAGCCGCGGUAAAACGUAGGGGGCAAGCGUUGUCCGGAAUUACUGGGCGUAAAGGGCGCGUAGGUGGUUCAUUAAGUUAUAGGUGAAAGUUCGGGGCUCAACCCCGUGAUUGCCUGUGAUACUGGUGGACUUGACUGCAGGAGAGGGUAGCAGAAUUCCCAAUGUAGCGGUGAAAUGCGUAGAUAUUGGGAGGAAUACCAAUGGCGAAGGCGGCUAUCUGGACUGUAACUGACACUGAGGCGCGAAAGCGUGGGGAGCAAACAGGAUUAGAUACCCUGGUAGUCCACGCCGUACACGAUGACUGCUAGGUGUUGCGGGUAUCGACCCCUGCUGUGCCGUAGUUAACACAAUAAACACUCCGCCUGGGGAGUACGGUCUCAAGACUGAAACUCAAAGAAAUUGGGACGGAAGGAAUGGACGG